UCGUUAACCCUUUAGGCUCUGCAAGGACAAAACACAAGGUAUUAGCUGUAUAUGCAUCAGUGGCAAACUUGCCACUUCAUGUACGCUCAGACACAGAUCACAUGUCUCUUGUCUUACUGUGCAGGGAGAAAGAUUUUAAAGAGUUUGGUCAUGCUAAUGUGUUCUCUGAAUUACUGGCAGACUUGAAAGAAUUGGAGGACAGUGGGAUUGUUGCAUCAGAUGAAACUAGAGUCAAAGGAACUUUGUUUUGCAUUGCUGGUGAUAAUCUGGGUUCUCACUGUAUUGGUGGCUUCACUGAAAACUUUAGUACUUCAAAACACUUCUGCAGGUACUGCCUGAUAACGAAAUCUGAAUUUCAGGGUGCUGACCCAAAUCUGUGUGGACCAGAACAUACCAAAGAGAACUACAACUCUGCUGUUGAUCGCCUCCAGAUUGACAAUACACCAGACGUCGAAGGAGUGAAGUUCAGACACUGAAUUUGAGCAGAAACCAUAAGGAUACUCAAAGGACCUGUGACUCUCAGGAAAUGCAUUGAAUGAGAGGGACAGAUGAAACAGUUUCAAGACAAUGGCAGGAAAAACAUGCUGAAGAUUGAAACAAACCUUGGCUGGAAAUAUUUGAAGGUAUCUAGCCAGUCCACAAUGAAAGCUUCGUUGCACCCCAUGAGUCUUCUGGCAGAAAUGAUGGCGCCUGUAUUCUUUGGUUUCCCUAAACAUCACACCCUGCCUGUUUAUACGAGGCUCUUCAAUUAAGUCUGCACCCAAAGAUUCAAUAAGAGAGGGGAUCCUGCCAGUCCAAAGUGAACUCCUGAUGGACAUUGAAGUACUCCUGCAGAGCUUGUAUCUUCGACACCAUGCGCAUUAGAAACUCCACUGAGUCCUUUCCUUCACCAAGGCAGGACCCAGUGACUCAUUACUGUUGAUAGGUCAGGGGCAGGUAAUAUUUUGUUUCAUUUUUUAUUCAUUCCUC
Non-coding RNA from Neolamprologus brichardi, 969 nucleotides. NCBI's taxonomy places the organism in Eukaryota, Metazoa, Chordata, Actinopteri, Cichliformes, Cichlidae. The record is from RefSeq and is a predicted model, not a curated record.